UACGGAGGGUGCAAGCGUUACCCGGAAUUACUGGGCGUAAAGCGCGCGUAGGUGGUUCAGUAAGUUGGAAGUGAAAUCCCCGGGCUCAACCUGGGAACUGCUUUCAAAACUGCUGAGCUAGAGUACGGUAGAGGGUGGUGGAAUUUCCUGUGUAGCGGUGAAAUGCGUAGAUAUAGGAAGGAACACCAGUGGCGAAGGCGACCACCUGGACUGAUACUGACACUGAGGUGCGAAAGCGUGGGGAGCAAACAGG
RNAcentral lists this ribosomal RNA (253 nucleotides) under uncultured bacterium. RNAcentral's name for it is "partial 16S ribosomal RNA". It matches the Rfam family "Bacterial small subunit ribosomal RNA", at positions 524 to 776 of the family's 1533-position model. The record is from RNAcentral.